This 1527-nucleotide ribosomal RNA is filed under the name soil metagenome. Its description in RNAcentral is "bacterial LSU rRNA". It matches the Rfam family "Bacterial large subunit ribosomal RNA", at positions 979 to 2487 of the family's 2925-position model. The record is from RNAcentral.
GGGAGACACACGGCGGGUGCUAACGUCCGUCGUGAAGAGGGAAACAACCCAGACCGCCAGCUAAGGUCCCAAAGUCAUGGUUAAGUGGGAAACGAUGUGGGAAGGCACAGACAGCCAGGAUGUUGGCUUAGAAGCAGCCAUCAUUUAAAGAAAGCGUAAUAGCUCACUGGUCGAGUCGGCCUGCGCGGAAGAUGUAACGGGGCUAAACCAUGCACCGAAGCUGCGGCAGCGACACUAUGUGUUGUUGGGUAGGGGAGCGUUCUGUAAGCCGUUGAAGGUGGCCUGUGAGGGUUGCUGGAGGUAUCAGAAGUGCGAAUGCUGACAUAAGUAACGAUAAAGCGGGUGAAAAGCCCGCUCGCCGGAAGACCAAGGGUUCCUGUCCAACGUUAAUCGGGGCAGGGUGAGUCGACCCCUAAGGCGAGGCCGAAAGGCGUAGUCGAUGGGAAACAGGUUAAUAUUCCUGUACUUGGUGUUACUGCGAAGGGGGGACGGAGAAGGCUAUGUUGGCCGGGCGACGGUUGUCCCGGUUUAAGCAUGUAGGCGGAGGUUCCAGGUAAAUCCGGUACCUUAUUAACGCUGAGGUGUGAUGACGAGGCACUACGGUGCUGAAGUAACAAAUGCCCUGCUUCCAGGAAAAGCCUCUAAGCAUCAGGUAACACGAAAUCGUACCCCAAACCGACACAGGUGGUCAGGUAGAGAAUACCAAGGCGCUUGAGAGAACUCGGGUGAAGGAACUAGGCAAAAUGGUGCCGUAACUUCGGGAGAAGGCACGCUGAUAUGUAGGUGAAGCCCCUGCGGGUGGAGCUGAAAUCAGUCGAAGAUACCAGCUGGCUGCAACUGUUUAUUAAAAACACAGCACUGUGCAAACACGAAAGUGGACGUAUACGGUGUGACGCCUGCCCGGUGCCGGAAGGUUAAUUGAUGGGGUUAGCGGUAACGCGAAGCUCUUGAUCGAAGCCCCGGUAAACGGCGGCCGUAACUAUAACGGUCCUAAGGUAGCGAAAUUCCUUGUCGGGUAAGUUCCGACCUGCACGAAUGGCGUAAUGAUGGCCAGGCUGUCUCCACCCGAGACUCAGUGAAAUUGAACUCGCUGUGAAGAUGCAGUGUACCCGCGGCAAGACGGAAAGACCCCGUGAACCUUUACUAUAGCUUGACACUGAACACUGGUCCUUGAUGUGUAGGAUAGGUGGGAGGCUUUGAAGCGUGGACGCCAGUCUGCGUGGAGCCGUCCUUGAAAUACCACCCUUUAAUGGCUGGUGUUCUAACGUAGACCCGUGAUCCGGGUUGCGGACAGUGUCUGGUGGGUAGUUUGACUGGGGCGGUCUCCUCCCAAAGAGUAACGGAGGAGCACGAAGGUUAGCUAAUCCUGGUCGGACAUCAGGAGGUUAGUGCAAUGGCAUAAGCUAGCUUGACUGCGAGAGUGACGGCUCGAGCAGGUGCGAAAGCAGGUCAUAGUGAUCCGGUGGUUCUGAAUGGAAGGGCCAUCGCUCAACGGAUAAAAGGUACUCCGGGGAUAACAGGCUGAUA